RNAcentral lists this long non-coding RNA (330 nucleotides) under Phasianus colchicus (ring-necked pheasant). RNAcentral's name for it is "lncRNA (ENSPCLG00000003788.1)". The record is from RNAcentral. Lineage: Eukaryota; Metazoa; Chordata; Aves; Galliformes; Phasianidae.
UCCUUAAUUGAUGUUUCAAAGAAGAGAAAUCCAUGGUCAAUUUUCCUCUUGUGAAGCUCCCAAGAAAAGAAAUAGAAGAAUUUCCUAAAUCCUGAACCAAAGAAGCAUAAACUAGUGAGUGCAAAGGCAGAAAAAAAGCAGUAACAUUCUAGAGAUAAAAUGCAAAGUGAAAUGAUAUUGUACCUUUACUUUGGAGGGGAUUAUUUUUUUUCUCCUAGAACCAACAACCAAACACCUGAAAAGGGUGAGAAGUUCUGCUAGACUGAGGUUUCUCCUUUGGAAAGUCAAAAAAGAUCCCUACACAUUUUUUGGAAAUAAAAAGGGCUGUGA